UUGGCAGCCCCGGCUCGCGGUUACGAAAGCUGGAUGGCGCAACCGCGCAGCGCGGCGGGCCACCGGAGGGGCGGCUUCCUGCAGCCUGGCCACACCUGGGCCGAGGCGCGGGGGACCCUCACCCGGCCCCUCCCGGGCUCGCCACGCGGGGCGAAGGGGAAGGACCCCACCGCCGCCCCCGCCGGGGGGAGGGGCUCUGGUUUUGGCCUUUGCUUUCCUGAGUGCGAUCGCGGAGGGAAGUCCAGUGGCUCUGGCUGUUGAACAGCGCAGGGCGAAUCCCGGGUCCUUACACACACCAUCCGGAGAGUCCGGAAGCACGCCGGUGUCGGCGUCGACCCCAGAGGCUGUGAUUUAAUUGCUCUGAGCGAAGACUUAGGCAUCCGAAACCUGACAGAGGAAAAGGCUUCCUUUGGCCUCCCAGCCCAGCGGCCCUUUGAAGGCUGCAGCAGAGGCAACAAAAAACACUCAUGAUGAAGAUUACUGGGAACGCCAUCUAAGUACCCGGACCCCAAGUACUCAACGAGGAAUCGGGCCCUGACUGUCCUCAUGACUUGACUGGACGCAAAGGAAAAGGCACUUGCAGACUCCCCUUGUGGUGGCUUCUUCCUUUCUGUGGUGCUUGGAGACCUGAAAAUAAUUGCAGAGAGGCAAGCUGCCGGCCUGAAACAGGAAGACUGCAGCAGGCUGCCCGCUCAGAUAGAGUUUAAUAAAGAAUGUUGAAGGCAAGAGCAGGCAUCUCAGGCACGGC
Psammomys obesus (fat sand rat) is the source of this 748-nucleotide long non-coding RNA. RefSeq lists it as uncharacterized. NCBI's taxonomy places the organism in Eukaryota, Metazoa, Chordata, Mammalia, Rodentia, Muridae. The record is from RefSeq and is a predicted model, not a curated record. The transcript has 3 exons.